This is a long non-coding RNA of Phragmites australis (common reed), 1543 nucleotides long. RefSeq lists it as uncharacterized. The record is from RefSeq and is a predicted model, not a curated record. The transcript is spliced from 2 exons. Lineage: Eukaryota; Viridiplantae; Streptophyta; Magnoliopsida; Poales; Poaceae.
GAUCCGCCACUGCUGCUGGCCACCCCCUACCUUCUUCCUCCCUCGCGCGACGAGCACAACGCGGCGUGGAACGUGUCCGGCACGCACGAGUUCACGAUCCGGCGGUACAGCCAGACCAAGGUCAUCGGCGUCGGCAAAUCCAUCCUCUCCCGGUACUUCACCGUCGACGGCCGCACGUGGUACGUCCGGUUCUACCCCGACGACUACAGCCCCCAGUCGCUGCACGUCGCCUUCUACGUGCAGACGGUCUACAAGCCGCAGCUCUGCGCCGUCCGCGCCAACUUCACCUUCGAGCUCCUCAAACCCGACGGUAGCGUCGGCCACGCGCGGCGCUCCGACCGGCCUAGCAGCUUCGAAAGGUACUGCAACAGCUGGGGAUUCGGCCUGUUCAUCACCCGGGAGACUCUCGAGGGUGUAGGCCUUGUCGUCCUUCACGAUGACUCUUGCAUCCAAGGUGUUUGAUGAUUUGCUCCUUUGGUUACAGGCUCUGUUAAUGAGAAUAUUCAAAGCCACUUCUCAAAUUUCAGAAUGUCGCAUAUGUUAGCUUCUAAGCUGAACCUGCAACAGGUUAUUCCAUAUCUGAAGAUAUUCAGACAAAGCAACAUACAUUGGUUAAGUUACCCAUAAAAAUAUGAAGUUUAUCAAUGCUGUAAUGCUAAAUGAGGAUUGCAGAACUCUCAUAAACCACAUGGGUUAAGUUAUACAAACAAAUACAAAAAUGUGAUCAAUUCGGUGGCCAUGAACCUAAGCCUGUUACUUAAAAUUUUCAGGUGGGUCUACUUUAGGUUGCUCAUGGCUGCUGGAUUUGGACUGUUUAUCAGUGAUGAAGUCUUAAAUGUUUGGAUCUGUUCCUUGGGCCUCUAUAUUAGCAAUAUGAUCCUAUUCUAUCUAGGGAUGCUUUUUAGGCAAACUAGAGCAUCUGAAGACAUAAGCAGCAAGGUGUGACGUAGGGAUUUAUGUCAUUUUUUCAUACUCACUGAUUAGUUCUUUAACCUACAUUACACAUAUCCAUUUUUGCAAAAUUAUGACAUGAACUGUUCUUGCCUCAGUGAUAUCUAACCACAGUUAUCCUUUUAGAUCGGAAUUGGCUAGGAGAAAGUAUGGGAAACUAAUUGGCUUUGAUAUACUUCUGAACUCUCGCAGCGUUUUCUCAAGAAUUUCUAUCCCUGAGUAAAUUAAUAAAGUGUUAAACUCUGUAGAGUAUUACAUAUACAGUCAAUGCAUGGAAGAUUUAAAGACAAUAGAUUGUCGAAUUUGUUUAGCACUUCAAAUUGUUAAUGUCUGUCUUGUUAACUGCAGUUACGUGAUUUCCCAUUGCAGCAAUUCUUUACUGACCAGGGAGCUGUUGGCUUGGGGUUACGUUUAUUGAGUUAAGAAUUGGAAUGCUUUUCAUUGAAAAACUGGUUUAUGUGUGUAUAAUUUUCUCAUGUCUUGAUAUUAUUCUAUGUAACAAGACACUUCAUUGAUUUUUCUCCAUACUCCUCACUCAAGAAAUUGAUUUUUAAUAGGAUCUCCCACCGCGCUCGCGGGGGCACUUUUGUCA